UACGUAGGGGGCUAGCGUUGUCCGGAAUCAUUGGGCGUAAAGAGCGUGUAGGCGGCCCGGUAAGUCCGCUGUAAAAGUCAAAGGCUCAACCUUUGAAUGUCAGUGGAUACUGCCGGGCUAGAGUCCGGCAGAGGCGAGUGGAACUCCUGGUGUAGCGGUGGAAUGCGCAGAUAUCAGGAAGAACACCAACGGCGAAGGCAGCUCGCUGGGACGGUACUGACGCUGAGACGCGAAAGCGUGGGGAGCGAACAGG
RNAcentral lists this ribosomal RNA (253 nucleotides) under uncultured bacterium. RNAcentral's name for it is "partial 16S ribosomal RNA". It matches the Rfam family "Bacterial small subunit ribosomal RNA", at positions 524 to 776 of the family's 1533-position model. The record is from RNAcentral.